AAAAAAAGAAAAGAGGACGACAUCAAAAAGAUACUAAAAAAAAAUUUCGUAAAUUCAUUCAUCAAAAAAGGGAGAACAAAAGAGAGUGAAAAAAAAAAACAGAAAACCAACAUAAAAAAAAAGUAAGUAAGCAAACAUCAGAAAGAAAAGGAGAAAAGGAAAAACAUUGAAGUUGAAGGUCUGUUCGAAUUUCCGGUGAAACCGAUCUCCUUUGGCUCCAGAUCCAGUGGAUAACCAUCAGAAAACAGCUGCAAAACACGUCAGCGCCGUCUCACCUUUUCCGUCAUUGGCGACCCUCCGCCGAUCAGCCGCUGGCGAACCAAGUGCCGCCUCUCUUUCCCCUUUUUCCACUCCCAGUCAUUACUCCGUUGCCGACGUUCCACGGAGAAAUGUUGCUGUUAUGACUCUAGAAAAUGGAUGAACAUUAUUUAUGUAUAAAAUUUUAAAAAAGGAAAACGUUAUCUACAAAUGGUUGGAAUCCAAAACUGUUACUAUUAUUUAUUUAUAUAUGUGUUAAUUAAUUACUAUUAUUAUUAUUAUUUAUUUGUUUAAAUUAAAUAAUGUUAGAUUUAGAGAUUAUAAUAUUUAGUAUUACA
RNAcentral lists this long non-coding RNA (596 nucleotides) under Capsicum annuum. RNAcentral's name for it is "long non-coding RNA (CANN_LNC022334)". Lineage: Eukaryota; Viridiplantae; Streptophyta; Magnoliopsida; Solanales; Solanaceae. The record is from RNAcentral.